This 321-nucleotide unclassified non-coding RNA is filed under the name plant metagenome. Its description in RNAcentral is "partial contains 5.8S ribosomal RNA, internal transcribed spacer 2, and large subunit ribosomal RNA". The stretch from base 1 to 106 matches the Rfam family "5.8S ribosomal RNA", at positions 49 to 154 of the family's 154-position model. The record is from RNAcentral.
CGAAAUGCGAUAAGUAAUGUGAAUUGCAGAAUUCAGUGAAUCAUCGAAUCUUUGAACGCACAUUGCGCCCGCCAGUAUUCUGGCGGGCAUGCCUGUUCGAGCGUCAUUACAACCCUCAGGCCCCCGGGCCUGGCGUUGGGGAUCGGCGGAAGCCCCCUGCGGGCACAACGCCGUCCCCCAAAUACAGUGGCGGUCCCGCCGCAGCUUCCAUUGCGUAGUAGCUAACACCUCGCAACUGGAGAGCGGCGCGUCCACGCCGUAAAACACCCAACUUCUGAAUGUUGACCUCGAAUCAGGUAGGAAUACCCGCUGAAUUUAAGC